Molecule: ribosomal RNA, 375 nt
Filed under: uncultured bacterium
Lineage: Bacteria
Description: bacterial SSU rRNA
Rfam family: Bacterial small subunit ribosomal RNA
Source: RNAcentral
UAAUACGAAGGGGGCAAGCGUUGUUCGGAAUUACUGGGCGUAAAGGGCGCGUAGGCGGCCUGUUGCGUCGGGUGUGAAAGCCCCGGGCUCAACCUGGGAGGUGCACUCGAGACGGGCGGGCUGGAAUCCGGAAGAGGAUGGUGGAAUUCCCAGUGUAGAGGUGAAAUUCGUAGAUAUUGGGAAGAACACCGGUGGCGAAGGCGGCCAUCUGGUCCGGUAUUGACGCUGAGGCGCGAAAGCGUGGGGAGCAAACAGGAUUAGAUACCCUGGUAGUCCACGCCGUAAACGAUGUGCGCUAGCCGUUGGCCAGCUUGCUGGUCGGUGGCGCAGCUAACGCAUGAAGCGCACCGCCUGGGGAGUACGGCCGCAAGGUUA